This 23-nucleotide non-coding RNA is filed under the name Arabidopsis thaliana (thale cress). The record is from RNAcentral. Lineage: Eukaryota; Viridiplantae; Streptophyta; Magnoliopsida; Brassicales; Brassicaceae.
CAAGCUCGGCCAUACAACGCCUC